RNAcentral lists this ribosomal RNA (479 nucleotides) under uncultured bacterium. Its description in RNAcentral is "partial 16S ribosomal RNA". It matches the Rfam family "Bacterial small subunit ribosomal RNA", at positions 28 to 507 of the family's 1533-position model. The record is from RNAcentral.
GAUGAACGCUAGCGGGAGGCCUAACACAUGCAAGCCGAGCGGUAUUGUUUCUUCGGAAUUGAGAGAGCGGCGUACGGGUGCGUAACACGUGUGCAACCUGCCUUUAUCUGGGGGAUAGCCUUUCGAAAGGAAGAUUAAUACUCCAUAAUAUAUUGAACGGCAUCGUUUAAUAUUGAAAGCUCCGGCGGAUAGAGAUGGGCACGCGCAAGAUUAGCUAGUUGGUGAGGUAACGGCUCACCAAGGCGAUGAUCUUUAGGGGGCCUGAGAGGGUGAUCCCCCAGACUGGUACUGAGACACGGACCAGACUCCUACGGGAGGCAGCAGUGAGGAAUAUUGGUCAAUGGGAGCAAGCCUGAACCAGCCAUCCCGCGUGAAGGACGACUGCCCUAUGGGUUGUAAACUUCUUUUGGAUAGGGAUAAACCUACCCUCGUGAGGGUAGCUGAAGGUACUAUACGAAUAAGCACCGGCUAACUCCGUG